ACCUGGCUGGCUCAGUAAAUAGAGCAUGUGACUCUUGAUCUGAGGGUUGUGGGUUUGAGCCCCACAUUGGGUG
This 73-nucleotide transfer RNA is filed under the name Felis catus (domestic cat). It matches the Rfam family "tRNA". Rfam says of the family: Transfer RNA (tRNA) molecules are approximately 80 nucleotides in length. Their secondary structure includes four short double-helical elements and three loops (D, anti-codon, and T loops). Lineage: Eukaryota; Metazoa; Chordata; Mammalia; Carnivora; Felidae. The record is from Rfam by way of RNAcentral.